GAUUGCCUCAAAUCAAACAAGAUCACCUGCUGAACUUAAGCAUAUUAAUAAGCAGAGGAAAAGAAACUAACAAGGAUUUCCCUAGUAAUGGCGAAUGAAAAGGAAAUAGCCCACAUGUGAAAUCAGUUUGAGAGGAAAAAUUUAUUUUUCUGUCUUUAAUUGAUGUUGUACUGUAUUACUUUCACAAUUGUAUCGUACAAUCUCUUUUUCCUAAAGUCUACUGAAAUGUAGCACCAUAGAGGGUGAUAGUCCUUUGUAGGAAAAAAGUAGUGGAUGUAUGUUCAUGUGAUUGUUUAAAGAGUAGUAUUGUUUGGGAUUGCAAUGCGAAGAUUUUACAAGGGUGGUAGUCUCCAUCUAAGGCUAAAUAAAGGCAAGAGACCGAUAGCAAACAAGUACCGUGAGGGAAAGAUGAAAAGAACUCUGAAGAGAGAGUGAAAAGUAUGUGAAAUUGUCAAAAGGGAAGCAUUUGAAGGGGUAAAAUGUAUUUUAAAUGGAGUGGGGGUUGAUUGGGGUGAAGAGAAAGGGAGCAAUUUCAAUCUUUUCAUUCAUGAUGGACCCAGGAAAGCUUUUUAUUCCAGUGUGGUUGGACAAUUUAUUUUGCAUAGUCACAAGGAAUUUAUAAAAGGUCACUCUAAAUUUUGAUUUAAAAACCUCUUUAAAUGACCCGUCUUGAAACACGGACCAAGGAGUGCAACACAAGUGCAAGUUUAAAAGUUCAAAAACUGAUCAUUUUAAGCAAAGGGAAAGCAAAAGAGAAGGAGAGGGAGAAAGAGGGGGGUGACCCAAUUUUUCUUUUUUCUCCUUCUCAAAUGAAAAUGAACGCUUCACRCGUGUGCUGCGUGCAAUUUCACUGAACUUUUUUCUAAAGUUCAAGUAGAGCAUUUUUGUUGCGACCCGAAAGAUGGUGAACUAUGCCUGUAUAGAAUGAAGCCAGAGGAAACUCUGGUGGAAGUUCGUAGCGAUUCUGACGUGCAAAUCGAUCGUCAAAUAUGGGUAUAGGGGCGAAAGACUAAUCGAACCAUCUAGUAGCUGGUUUCCACUGAAGUUUCCCUCAGGAUAGCAGAAAUGGGAAGAUUUGUUUUUUUUAUUAGUUUUAUGAGGUAAAGCGAAUGAUUAGAAUGGUUGGGGAUUUAAAUUUGAUCUCUGCCUUAUUCUCAAACUUUGAAUGUGUAAACAGGAAGAGCAGAAAUCAUUUAUUUUAUUUCGCUCUUUGAUAUUAAAGAAAUAAAUCCAUUUCUAGUGGGCCAUUUUUGGUAAGCAGAACUGGCGAUGUGGGAUGAACCAAAAGCAAAGUUAAAGAGCCUAAAUACAUGCUUAUUUUGAUACCAUAAAAGGUGUUAUCUCAUCUAGACAGCAGGGCAGUGGCCAUGGAAGUCGGCAUCUGCUAAGGAGUGUGUAACAACUCACCUGCCGAAUGAAAUAGCCCUGAAAAUGGAUGGCGCUUCAGCAUGUUUCUUAUACUUUGCUGUGGGGAUAAAUUGUUUGUAGAUAUCCCCACAUGUAAGUGGACGUGAAGGCUAUGUUUCAAAUGAAAGAGAAAUCUUGYAUUUCCAUUUCAUUGUAUCAUGUGAUAAAGCAUACACGUGAGUGUGUGUGAAACAGCCUUUAGUGCAGAUCUUGGUGGUAGUAGCAAUGAUUCAAAUGAAAACUUUGAAGACUAAAGUGGAGAAGGGUUCCAUAUCAACUGUAUUUGUAUAUGGGUAAGUCGGUCCUAAGGGUAUAGUUCAAUGACUAUAUAACAAAUUUGUGUUGUACUGUUUUUUUUUUUGGUCUUUUUUUUUUAAAAGAGAUCAUUGCAAAAACAAACACUGACCCGAAAGGGAAUUUGGUUUAAAUUCCAAAACCUGAUUUAGAGCGUGAUUAAAGUGAUAUUGGUGACAAAUAUGAACUUGGUGAUUCGUCAUCCAUUGGCCUAGAAAGAGUUUUCUUUUCUUUUUAACUUGGCAAUGUUUUAAUUUUUUCGCAAGAGAAAAUGACACAAAAAACAUCACUAUGAAAUCAAUUUAGUUGGUGAAGUAGUCAUGUGCCAGGAAGAGCAGAUGUAUUUUUUAUAUCUGUCUGGAGCCCAGUGGGUGGCCCUUGAAAAACCAAGGGAAUGUGGUUGGGUGAGAUGAGAAACUUUUCUUAUCUUGUUUAGCUAAUUUCACGUCUCAUCAGUCCGUACCCAUAUCCGCAUCAGGUCUCCAAGGUGAAUAGCCUCUAGUUGAUAGAAGAAUGUAGAUAAGGGAAGUCGGCAAAAUAGAUCCGUAACUUUGGGAAAAGGAUUGGCUCCUAUAGUUGGGUUGAGAAAGAGAGAGUAUCACUUUUUCUUUCUCAUUAAGGUUUGGGUGUAUGAAAUUUAUUUUUCAUUUUAAAAAAGCACCUUUCCUCGUAUCAACUGAAUAGGAACUGAAACGGACUAGAGGAAUCUGACUGUCUAAUUAAAACAUAGCUUUGUGAUAGUAAUAAGAUUACAUUUCCACAAAGUGAUUUCUGCCCAGUGCUCUGAAUGUUAAAGAAAAAGAAAUUUUCCCAAGCGCRGGUAAACGGCGGGAGUAACUAUGACUCUCUUAAGGUAGCCAAAUGCCUCGUCAUCUAAUUAGUGACGCGCAUGAAUGGAUAAACGAGAUUCCUACUGUCCCUAUCUACCAUCUAGCGAAACCACAGCCAAGGGAACGGGCUUGGCAAUUGAAAUAGGGGAAAGAAGACCCUGUUGAGCUUGACUCURGUUUGGAAUCUGAGAAAGAGCAUUUCGGUUGCAGCAUAAGUGGGAGUUGGGAAAGCAAUUUCUUGACGCUCUUGAGAUACCACUACCUUAAUUGCUUUUUUUCUAAAAUGAUCAUAAUGGAAGAAGAGUGUCUAUAACUUGGUUUAUAACACGUGCAUUAAGUGAGAGGGAGGUAUUCCUUUCUUUCUCAUGACCAAUUUGACUAGAAUAUUUAUUCUAGAUUUCAUUGAAACCUCCAGAUGGGGAGUUUGGCUGGGGCGGCACAUUUGCUAAAUCAUAACGCAAGUGUCCUAAGGGCAACUCAUUGAGAACAGAAAUCUCAUGUGGAAUAAAAGGGUAAAAGUUGCCUUGAUYUUUUGAUUUUCAGUAAAAAUACAAACCAUGAAAGUGUGGCCUAUCGAUCCUUUAAAUAAUUUAAAAGUAGCGAGAUAAUGUAUCAUCUACUUAGGGGUGUCAGAAAAGUUACCACAGGGAUAACUGGCUUGUGGCAGCCAAGCGUUCAUAGCGACGUUGCUUUUUGAUCCUUCGAUGUCGGCUCUUCCUAUCAUAUUGCCGCAACUGUCAAUAAGUGUUGGAUUGUUCACCCAUUAAAAGGGAACGUGAGCUGGGUUUAGACCGUCGUAAGACAGGUUAGUUUUACCCCUAUUUCGUUUAUAAUUAUUCACAUGAUAUCAUCACAGUACCUUCAUGAGAGGAAUUCAAUAUAGUACGAGAGGAACUAUUGAAUCACAUCCUUGGUAUUUACAGUUGGUUGAAAAGCCAGUGCUGUAAAGCUAACA
Molecule: ribosomal RNA, 3486 nt
Filed under: Coelomomyces stegomyiae
Lineage: Eukaryota; Fungi; Blastocladiomycota; Blastocladiomycetes; Blastocladiales; Coelomomycetaceae
Description: eukaryotic LSU rRNA
Rfam family: Eukaryotic large subunit ribosomal RNA
Source: RNAcentral